UUUGGGCUUUUUAUUCUUUAUAGGCUUCUAGCUUUAACAAAAAUAUGUAUGUUGACUCUUAGUGUUUUGAAUUAUAUGUGUCGUUCGGUUGCUGUCGUAUUAAGGUAUACAUUUAAAAUAUUUUUCAAAACAAAAGGAUUGAUUGGACAGGAUAUAGAAAUAUUCACAUCUCUGGACUUCUCACGUCCGACAGUAUAUCUUUGCUAUAAUUGGGUGCGGCCGUUUAGCUGCUCGGAUGUAUAAAUUUACAGCCUUUGUCGUUUGUUUAUGUGUUACAUAUUUGUUUUUCGUUCAUUGUUUGACAUAAAUAAGGCCUUUAGUUUUCUCGUUUGAAUUGUUUUACAUUGUCUUAUCGGGGCCUUUUAUAGCUCACUAUGCGGUAUGGGCUUUGCUCAUUGUUGAAGGCCGUACGGUGACCUAUAGUUGUUAAUGUCUGUGUCAUUUUGGUCUUUUGUGGAUAGUUGUCUCAUUGGCAAUCAUACCACAUCUUCUUUUUUAUAUUGUUUAG
This 508-nucleotide long non-coding RNA is filed under the name Mytilus galloprovincialis (Mediterranean mussel). The record is from RNAcentral. Lineage: Eukaryota; Metazoa; Mollusca; Bivalvia; Mytilida; Mytilidae.